This 497-nucleotide ribosomal RNA is filed under the name uncultured bacterium. Its description in RNAcentral is "partial 16S ribosomal RNA". It matches the Rfam family "Bacterial small subunit ribosomal RNA", at positions 28 to 507 of the family's 1533-position model. The record is from RNAcentral.
GAUGAACGCUGGCGGCGUGCCUAAUACAUGCAAGUCGAGCGAACGGACGAGAAGCUUGCUUCUCUGAUGUUAGCGGCGGACGGGUGAGUAACACGUGGAUAACCUACAUAUAAGACUGGGAUAACUUCGGGAAACCGGAGCUAAUACCGGAUAAUAUUUUGAACCGCAUGGUUCACAAGUGAAAGACGGUCUUGCUGUCACUUAUAGAUGGAUCCGCGCUGCAUUAGCUAGUUGGUAAGGUAACGGCUUACCAAGGCAACGAUGCAUAGCCGACCUGAGAGGGUGAUCGGCCACACUGGAACUGAGACACGGUCCAGACUCCUACGGGAGGCAGCAGUAGGGAAUCUUCCGCAAUGGGCGAAAGCCUGACGGAGCAACGCCGCGUGAGUGAUGAAGGUCUUCGGAUCGUAAAACUCUGUUAUUAGGGAAGAACAUAUGUGUAAGUAACUGUGCACAUCUUGACGGUACCUAAUCAGAAAGCCACGGCUAACUACGUG